This 48-nucleotide ribosomal RNA is filed under the name Carlito syrichta (Philippine tarsier). The record is from RNAcentral. Lineage: Eukaryota; Metazoa; Chordata; Mammalia; Primates; Tarsiidae.
ACCCUAAGUGCUCCCAAUCUUGUCUGAUCUUGGAAGUUAAGCAGGGUC